This 9916-nucleotide long non-coding RNA is filed under the name Citrus sinensis (sweet orange). RNAcentral's name for it is "long non-coding RNA (CSIN_LNC003741)". The record is from RNAcentral. Lineage: Eukaryota; Viridiplantae; Streptophyta; Magnoliopsida; Sapindales; Rutaceae.
AAGAUCUGAGAAGUUAAAAGCUAAAAAAAACUUACUUGUACAUGUAAAUGUCUUUGCCAGGCAAAAGGGUUUGUUUGCAAAGAAAGCAAUGCUGAAGAAAAGUGGGAACUGGGAAAGUUGAGUGAGAAUUUGCAGCGUCUGAUGAUGAUGCAGAAGAAAAUGAAGGCUUGUUGUUAAUAAUCAUAGUGGCUUUGUUAAUAACUUGAGGGCUUUUCUUGUUAAAACCACCAUGCUUUUGGUUUUCCAAAACUAUACUUAGCCCCACCAUAUCUCAUUCUCUAUUUUUCUUCUUCUUCUUCUUUAGAGAAAUAAUUUUUCUUCCAUCUCUCAGUUAUGGUUUUGUUGAUGGUGGCUGGUUUUGGCUUAUGAAAAAUUGACAAAAUAAAUAGAAGACAGAGAGAGAGAGAGAUUAUUUGUGAAUCGGAUUAAUAAUAUCUGGAUCCCUUAUUUCUUAUGUUUUUGAAAUAAGGGCAUAGUUGAUUCUUUUUUUUUUAAAUAGAUCCCAGACUCCCAUUUUAUUUUAUUUUUAAUUAUAUUGAAUUAUUAUUCAGAUUACAACUUAUAUUAUAUAAGAUUAAUAUUGUAUUUACAAUUAGUAAUUAUUAAAAUUAAUUUAUAUUAAAUUUUAUAUAAUAUUAGCUAAUUUUUAUCCUCUAUAAUAUUAAAAAAAAUGUUUAUUUUACUCAUAUUUCGUAAGAAGUAAUGGAAAAAAAUUUUGUAAGAGAGAGGACAAAAGAAAACAAAAAGAGAUGAUUUAGAUAGCAUUUAUUUUUUUUCAAACUUCAUACGUUUAUUAGACAACCUUUUAAUGUCAAAAUAAAUAAUAAAAUUAAGAUUAAUUUCUUCUUUUUUUCCUAUCAUUUUCUCUUUCUUCUCUCGUUUUCAUUCUUUUCCUCUCGGCCCUCUCUUUUUUUCAAACUUCAUUUUCUCUCCCUUCGCUCAUUUUCUAAUUCUAAAUCAAUUGAUUUUGAUUCAAGUUCUCAAACAAUAUAGCAAGAAAAAUCAAUAAAUAAAAUUACACUUGUUUUAUGAAUGAAGAUUGCUUUAGAUUUUUUUUUUUUUUGUUUUUGAAUGGAUCGAGUUUGAUUGAUUUAAUUUUAUGGAGAAGUUGGAGCGUAACUCAAAAAUACCCACCCAUGCCCAUGCAUGCGGUCAAAGACAAAGGAUAUUUCAAGUCAUUUUAAUCAGAAAAGGGACCUCUUUCAUACAAAUGAAAACAUUAUUAUUAAUUAAGAAAUUGUAAACUUAUAGGGGUCUUCCCGUUAUUACCCCGAUAGGAUUGUACUGUGAUGGUGGGUCCCGCACAGCUAUGAAGAGCAGUAACAAGGACGAUUAGCGUAGCGAACGAUUUGACUUCUAGUGAUUGUUAACUGCCACGUACCCCCUUGCUUUUAGUUUCCAUUCCAUUUUCUGUUUUUCUUUUUCUUUUUCUUUCUUUUUCUUUUUAUUUCUUUUUCUGUUUCUUCCUCUGAUUACUGUGUACGUUAUUUCUUGAAUUUCCAAUUUCCCAAUUUAAUGGUAAUGAAGUUAUGAAUAAACCCAGUUGCACUUUCAAGCGAGUGCCAGACACGGCCUUAUUUUUAACUUUUUGCUUGCUUCUUCAGAGUUUGCACGGACAUUCCCACUCGUCAAAAAUAGCUUAAAAUGUGCGGGCUUGUGGUAACGUAUUUUUAUAUAUUUCUUGCUUCAUUAAUUCAAAAUAACUUGUAUUUAUUAAGCCUUAGAGUUAAUUAAUUGUCAAUUAUAAAUUUAAUUUGAAUUUUUAUCCAAAGAACUUAUACGGGUAUAUUUGUACAAAACCUAUCCAAUAAAAGUACUUGAUGUACGUACCUUAUCCACAUAACUCCUUGAUCUAAGCAUUUUAUUUCUCAACCGACUGCUAAAAGUACGCGGUGUAAAAUAUCAAUUUAUUUAGGGGUAGGUUACAAAUUUCCCAUUAAUUAAUUUACAGUACGAUGAAGAUGUGUCUUUGAAUAAAUUAAAAGUGAAAAGCUACGCUUUUUAUCAAGACCAUUAAAAAAAUUUAUCUUCUAAUAUAUGCGUACAAGUCAUUGGCAAAUGUCUGUCUUUGAUAGGAUAUGAAUUUUUAGCCGGUACUAAUACCAUAUUUAAAUUCGAUGCUGACUGACCUUUUUGUUAAUCUUUCAUAAAUACGUAAUUUGUAGUCAUUGAAUAAAAAUAUAAAAUUAAUUAAAUAUUAAUCGUAUAUUAUUAUACAUGCACGUCUAAUAGAAGAUUAUACACCUAACUACACAGAGUCAAAACAAUCACAAACUCUAAUUCCUAACAAAUGAAGACAUGCCACUUUGUAAUUCUGUAGUAAGGCAUCAACAUCUAAUUGAAGUACAUAUACAUAGAUUUGAAUCCAGUACUGAGUUGACCUGUGCUUAAUUCUUCAUAAUCUUUUUGGACACGUGUAUGUAUAGUAAUAUACAGUUAAGAUUUAAUUAGUUUUAUAUUUCUAUCUAAUAACUACCCAAUUGUAUCUUUCUAAAAGUUUAGUAAAAGGAUAAACUCAAAUGCUGAAUUCAUAUGCAUGUUAGAAAAUGUUUGCAUCCACACCUGGAAUUUUUUGUUUUUUUUCCUUAUCUAACUAUAUACUUGAAAACAUAAUCCAUUUUUUUUAAUAAUUCAUUAUAAAUUUGAAAGAACCUAAUAAUCUGUGCAAAAAUAUUCUUUUCCUCGUCAUUUUCUUUUAUUGCAUUAUAAUUUAGUGAUCUUAAUCAAUUAUAACAAAUUUGUCAAAAUUAUUACCCUUAAUAGACAUGUGCCAUCCAAGAAUUUGCUUAGAUGGAGGAGUCUAAUGGAAAGCAUCCCUUUCAAAUAUGCUUUUGUAUUUCUAGGAGAUUAUUAUAAUCACUUUGAUUUCGAUUUGUUUUCUCUAACAACAUUAGUCAUGCUGAGAGUCGGGGACCAUUUCUCUUGACAUACACUACUGAAUUUUAUCAUGCUUCAUUUUUAUAUUCUCCAUACAAAUACUUUUUUAUCACAUAAUUAAUCUGAUCACUUUAGUUAAAAGAUUUCAGUUGGUUCCACGUAGAAGCAGAAUCUAAACUUUCUUUUUCUUUUUCUUUUUUUUUUUUGUAAGUAGAAGCAGAAUCUAAACUAAAUUGAGAAUCCAGAGUACAAAAUUCCAACAUUAUUUUCUUAAAGAAUGUAUGCUUAUGCUUCCACAUCAAAAGAGAUUAAUUAACAUUUAACCCAGAAUUUUAUCUCUUACAAAUAAUAUUAUUAUAAAAAAAUCACACAAAUUUUAGCAGUCGGUUGAGAAAUAAAAUGCUUAGAUCAAGGAGUUAUGUGGAUAAGGUACGUACAUCAAGUACUUUUAUUGGAUAGGUUUUGUACAAAUAUACCCGUAUAAGUUCUUUGGAUAAAAAUUCAAAUUAAAUUUAUAAUUGACAAUUAAUUAACUCUAAGGCUUAAUAAAUACAAGUUAUUUUGAAUUAAUGAAGCAAGAAAUAUAUAAAAAUACGUUACCACAAGCCCGCACAUUUUAAGCUAUUUUUGACGAGUGGGAAUGUCCGUGCAAACUCUGAAGAAGCAAGCAAAAAGUUAAAAAUAAGGCCGUGUCUGGCACUCGCUUGAAAGUGCAACUGGGUUUAUUCAUAACUUCAUUACCAUUAAAUUGGGAAAUUGGAAAUUCAAGAAAUAACGUACACAGUAAUCAGAGGAAGAAACAGAAAAAGAAAUAAAAAGAAAAAGAAAGAAAAAGAAAAAGAAAAACAGAAAAUGGAAUGGAAACUAAAAGCAAGGGGGUACGUGGCAGUUAACAAUCACUAGAAGUCAAAUCGUUCGCUACGCUAAUCGUCCUUGUUACUGCUCUUCAUAGCUGUGCGGGACCCACCAUCACAGUACAAUCCUAUCGGGGUAAUAACGGGAAGACCCCUAUAAGUUUACAAUUUCUUAAUUAAUAAUAAUGUUUUCAUUUGUAUGAAAGAGGUCCCUUUUCUGAUUAAAAUGACUUGAAAUAUCCUUUGUCUUUGACCGCAUGCAUGGGCAUGGGUGGGUAUUUUUGAGUUACGCUCCAACUUCUCCAUAAAAUUAAAUCAAUCAAACUCGAUCCAUUCAAAAACAAAAAAAAAAAAAAUCUAAAGCAAUCUUCAUUCAUAAAACAAGUGUAAUUUUAUUUAUUGAUUUUUCUUGCUAUAUUGUUUGAGAACUUGAAUCAAAAUCAAUUGAUUUAGAAUUAGAAAAUGAGCGAAGGGAGAGAAAAUGAAGUUUGAAAAAAAGAGAGGGCCGAGAGGAAAAGAAUGAAAACGAGAGAAGAAAGAGAAAAUGAUAGGAAAAAAAGAAGAAAUUAAUCUUAAUUUUAUUAUUUAUUUUGACAUUAAAAGGUUGUCUAAUAAACGUAUGAAGUUUGAAAAAAAAUAAAUGCUAUCUAAAUCAUCUCUUUUUGUUUUCUUUUGUCCUCUCUCUUACAAAAUUUUUUUCCAUUACUUCUUACGAAAUAUGAGUAAAAUAAACAUUUUUUUUAAUAUUAUAGAGGAUAAAAAUUAGCUAAUAUUAUAUAAAAUUUAAUAUAAAUUAAUUUUAAUAAUUACUAAUUGUAAAUACAAUAUUAAUCUUAUAUAAUAUAAGUUGUAAUCUGAAUAAUAAUUCAAUAUAAUUAAAAAUAAAAUAAAAUGGGAGUCUGGGAUCUAUUUAAAAAAAAAAGAAUCAACUAUGCCCUUAUUUCAAAAACAUAAGAAAUAAGGGAUCCAGAUAUUAUUAAUCCGAUUCACAAAUAAUCUCUCUCUCUCUCUGUCUUCUAUUUAUUUUGUCAAUUUUUCAUAAGCCAAAACCAGCCACCAUCAACAAAACCAUAACUGAGAGAUGGAAGAAAAAUUAUUUCUCUAAAGAAGAAGAAGAAGAAAAAUAGAGAAUGAGAUAUGGUGGGGCUAAGUAUAGUUUUGGAAAACCAAAAGCAUGGUGGUUUUAACAAGAAAAGCCCUCAAGUUAUUAACAAAGCCACUAUGAUUAUUAACAACAAGCCUUCAUUUUCUUCUGCAUCAUCAUCAGACGCUGCAAAUUCUCACUCAACUUUCCCAGUUCCCACUUUUCUUCAGCAUUGCUUUCUUUGCAAACAAACCCUUUUGCCUGGCAAAGACAUUUACAUGUACAAGUAAGUUUUUUUUAGCUUUUAACUUCUCAGAUCUUCAAAACCCAGAAGUGCUUUUGCAUGCCGUUUGUGUUUCCUGUUAAAGUUUCAUUUUUUAUGCAUGUGUUUGUAGAGGGGAUAGAGCUUUUUGUAGCGUGGAGUGCAGGUGCAGGCAAAUAUUCAUGGACGAAGAAGAGAGCUUAAAGAAAGAGAACUGUUCGUUUGCUGCUAUGAAUCCCAGAAGCACUUCAUCUGCUGCUUCUGCUUCUUCUUCCCGCCACCGUAAAGGAACCAGAAACCGAGCUGGUGGCUUCGUCUACUGAUAUUAAAAGGGAAAAAAAAAUGCAUCCCAGUUUUACCCUUAGCCUAAUUUUGUAAUGACAAUCUUGUACGCUGUCGUUUUGCUUCUGGAUUUGCGGCCAUGAAGCCAUUUUUAACUUCCUUCUUUCUAAGCCCCACGUAUCUAUGGGGACUAUGGGAUCCCCUGGUUUGAUUUGCUGUCAGUGUGUGGGUUUUUUUGGCUCAAGGGCAUUUCCGGUAUUUAAAUUAUAUUAAAUGAUAUUAAACGUGAUUAAUUAGUUCAGUAAUUGAAUAUUUUAGUUUUAUUCUGGAUUUUAGUAGUGGGAUUUAAGAGUUUAAGGCUCGUGAGAGUUAUCGUUUUCUUGGAACAAGCAAAGCGAAUGGUGGGGGCUUCUUGUUCUGUUAUCAGAACUUGUGAGCAUUUUAGUGGAAUCGUAAAGGGAAUGUCUAGUUCACGCACUGAAGGACAAUGGCGAGUGAUAAUUAAGUGGGGAAUAUUUCUGUCCUUUUGCAAAUUUUUACAAUUUUAUAAGCAGGGAUCUUAAGUUUUGUGUAUUAUAUCAAAUGCCUCCCCGAUUUGUCUGUUUAUUGCUUACCCAAAUGAACAAGUGAACAAGGCACAAGGUGGCAUUGCGUUGCUGUCUGUCUGCAGCAAAUAGAAAGACAGACAGACUGAGUUUUGAUGAAAUGUAUUUACAAAAUUGGAAAGGUAGAAUGGUAGAUGGGGUCUGAUUUUGGAAAAAGACAAAUUGAACUGACAAGUUACAUUUUGCCCUUUUUGUAAUUUUCAAACACUUCUAACCCUAAUCCCUUUCUUAUACAGGAGAGUAUCUAUGGCUCGUUUGAUAUCGUGGUGUCCUGGUAUGGAAGUUCAAACCAUCCAUGAAAAAAAAUUGAUGGGUGCCUAGUGUUUGGUGAGUACCGUACAAAUUUUUAUCAAUAAACGUGGGCCAAUUAAGCUGUAAGCGUUGAUAACUUUGGUAGCACAAUUGCCAAAAAAUACCAACACAAAAAGAGCCCAAAAGCUUGUUACCAUUUGGUUCUUUUACAUGCCACUUCCAAGUAAAAUGUGAAUAUUUUACGGAUUUAUGGGCUCCUCGUCGCAUAGUGAUUUAAUCUUGUUUAAAUUAGGAUUAGGGUUGCGAUCGAAUUGUGUUUAUAUGAUAGUUUGUGCUUUUAUACGAUGGUUAUGGUUUUUGGUUUUUGAGGUGCUGUAACAAAUGGAAUAAUUCCACUACAUAUUUCAAUUUACUUGGUAAUUAAUAGAUGGUAAAUAUUAAUCACCAAUUCACCAAAUGAAAGUGAAUGUCUAUCUCACACUUUUAACUAUGGUACUACUAAAAUUAAACAAAAUCACAACAAUUAAAAACAUGCCUUAAGUGGGUUCCCACUUCCCAUGGGCAAUGCUAACACUCCUCUUGCAAUUAUGAAAUGUUAUUAUAUCAUGAUGGUGGCAGGUUAAGAAAAGAUGUGCAUGAUAUUGAUGAUGAUGGGAUUUGGAAUUACUUGCGAGUAAUACAAACAAGCAACAGGAAGAAAGUUCCAAGAUGCCAGCCCAACAAAGGCAAAAAAGAUAUGCAGCAGUAAUGAGGAAGAAAUGGCAUGCAUUUGUCCAGUAGUAAAAUUUUAUCCAUUUGGUAAAAAGAAGAGAGUAAGCCGGUAAGGGUAGGCACAAAAUAGUGAGUUUCUCAAAGCACAAGAAAGAGGUGAAGAAUUAGGACAAAAGGAUCUUUAACUUUUCUUAUGUGCCCAUCUCGUGCAAUUUUUUCAAAGCUGGAACCCUAGAAAGCACAGCACGUAUAAAAUAUAGAAAAGAUUGACCGUACUAAAUUGGAAUAAAUAGGGCUUCCCACUUAAACGUCUUUUAUGCUUUGCUAUAUAGUCCACAAGCCCCUCUCUGGAAAAGGCGCAGUUAGGUCCCUUAUUGCUUUUCAGCAUUUUUGGGGGAAUGAAAUGCAUUUUUCCACCUGUGUCCAAGAACAAUUUCUUUGUUGCCAUACAUAUUCUUUUCUUAAUUACAGGACUUGGAAUUUUUUACUUGGAAUCUAAAAUCAAAAGUCGGUUGUAGUUUUUAUAUUGAGCAUCACUGGUUAAAGAUCCUAUCAGUUGAAUCAAAUUUUACAGUGUAAACUCGUAUGCAGUUUCGUGAGGUAUUCACCUACUUUCAUCGAAUUGAUAUUAUAUGUAUAAUGUAUAUUUAUUCUUUUUUCUCGAUUGAGAGGUACAUACCAUAAUAUUCCAACAAAAACAAAUUUGUACGCCGCUAGUAUUCAAAAGUUUUUCGUUGAUGUUUUGGCUCCAUUCAACUUUCUUUUUUGAGCUGUAAUCUACAAUAAAAUAAUUUUCGGUACAACAUUUCCUACUCUCAGCUGAAAACCUAAGUUUUGUAUCAUACCCGUAAAUUUUAUAUUGGCAACACCCAAAGUUUAUAGUUAGUUGUUUGAAGCGGAAAUUUCACUAAGCCACGUGUCAUAAGAAUAAGCUUCUUCUAGAAUUGGGGUUGAAUAGAAAUUUAGAUUAGAUGGUCUAUAAUUCACCUGAUCCUGUUGUGUAGUUUGAAAAAUAAGGUCUAAAAGCAUGCUCAGGCGUUGAUGUGGCCUAAAUAAGUUAUUGUUGCAAUCUUCACUUGGCUUGAAUAGUCACAAACGCUAUGAUAUUGCACACUAGAAAAAUUCUUAGAAACGAUUGGAGAGGUCACAACGGUCUCACUUAAAACCCAGAUUCCUUAAACUCUUAUCGCCUUUGUGACAGAACUUUUCUAAACAUGUACAAUACCACAUGAUUGGUCCACUCUUGGUCUUCGAAUGUUCCCCUUGGAAAUAGUUCUGAUAACACCAUUUAUUGAUUGAUGAGCGAAGCAGAUAUACAAUUAAAAUAAAAUUGAGAAAUAAAUAUCACAUAGGAGAUAAAAGUUUACGUAAUUCAGUUUUUAGCAUACGUCCACAUGAGAAGAUGGGAGGAAAUAUUUUACUAAUUGUGUAGAGUUUACAAGUAUUGUAAUAAUUUUAUCUCACAACCCAGAACCCCAAUACACCCAAACUCUCAAAUUAAGAAUUUAAAGCUCUCAAAAUAUUUUCUCAAUUGAUGCUUCUUCCACACUUUAUUUGAUGAUUUCUCCAUGCACUUAACUCACCUAUUUAUAGGGCAAGCCAAGCCUAAAAUGUCCAUUUUAGUUGGCUUUAAAAUAAUAAUUUAUUAUAUUUUUAUCAAAAUUGGUGUGCAUUAAAAUAAUAAUUUAUUUGUAGAAAUCAAAUUAUUUUAAUAAAAUAAUUUGUUUUGUUAAAAUUGGUUGAUGAUAUUUUAUUGCCACCAUUUUACUAUAUUUAGACUAUAAUAAAAGGUGUUGUCGCUGAAUGCCCCGAAUAACUAGUCUGACUAAAUUUCACAUUUGCUUCGCAAGUUUUUCAUUGGGCAAUAUCUGGUGCAAACCCUGAGAACCAUGUAACACAUCCCGGACUUGAGCUUUAUGGGCUGAAUUGGGUUAUUGGGCCUAAUAUCGUUUUUUAUGUAGAAACAUUAGUACAUAUAAAAUGGAGGAUAGGAUAUUAGUGAAAAUUUAAGGGGUCAGCAAUGGAAAAUAUAAAAUAACUUCAGGUUCUACAAUCAAAACUUGGCAGUUGUAUCAGACAACUACUAAUAUUUACAAUAAACUAACUAUUAGGAUUAAUUUACAACCUCCACUCAAUUAUUCUUUAAUUUAGGGAGGAAUUGAGUCCCCAUAUUUCAAUAUGGGUACUCAAACCGGCAGCUCACCGCUCGGCCACCUAUUGUGUUUGGACUUUUAUAACAACUGAAAUAUCCCGCAAGGAAGGCUGACUAGAGUAAAAUGGCGUCUGGUUUUUCCUUGGCUUUAAACUGACAACGUCCCAUCAACUGCUUCUGGUACCUAUAGCCAUCACAAGUUCCCCAAACCCCCCGAAAGUAAUUUGUAUUUAAGUGAAGCGUAGCAGCAGAGAUUCGUUGAAUUCAACAAAGCCUGUUGAACCUUGCCAAAGUACUUUUGUUUCUUCUGCGAUCGAUAUAACCAAAACACUUUGAUUGGCUUUUGUCUCUCAUUUCUACAGUGUUUGAAACAAGUGCUAAACAGCAUAAGUUUCUUGUGUUUUAAAACGUUAACGUACGGGUAUGGUAAAACUUACCAUAUUCUCAGCUACAAACAGAAGCAAUGGUAAUUUUACCAGGCAUAAGAUGGCUAAAAGAAGUUCAAGACUUCAAAAUGAUCCACGAAGUUCAACUUACAAAUAAGAAAAUCGCAGAAAUUACCAUGUGAUACACAAGGAAAACUAUUAACUAAAAACUGCAGUGCACAUCCAUUUUGAAGUAUCAAACCAGUUCCAAGCGAAUUCAAAUAUACAACUUAGGCUCAAGAAUCUCCAUGUAAAGAUUUCAAUUACUACAUACAGACAAUAUUUAUAGCAUUUGGAACGUAAACUCAUCAUCCGAACCACAAUCCACCAUCUUUCUCGACAUUAGGCUAACCGGAUUUGAAUAGCAAAACUGCUUUCUGAUCCAAAUAGAAAUAAACAAAGUGGUUUGUUU